GAAAUGCGAUAAGUAAUGUGAAUUGCAGAAUUCCGUGAAUCAUCGAAUCUUUGAACGCACAUUGCGCCCUCCGGCAUUCCGGGGGGCAUGCCUGUCCGAGCGUCAUUUUCACACCUCAAGCGCGGCUUGUGUGUUGGGUCGGCGUCCCCGCGCGUCUUGCGCCGCGAGGGACGGACCUGAAAGGCAGCGGCGGCGUCGCGGUCUCGCGAUCGGCCCGGGCGUAUGGGGCUCUGUCAGCACGCCCGUGGCGCGGACCGACGUCUCGCCUUCUCUUCCCACUCUCAAGGUUGACCUCGGAUCAGGUAGGGAUACCCGCUGAACUUAA
Molecule: unclassified non-coding RNA, 325 nt
Filed under: uncultured Ascomycota
Lineage: Eukaryota; Fungi; Ascomycota
Description: sequence contains ITS1
Rfam family: 5.8S ribosomal RNA (bases 1-105)
Source: RNAcentral